This 274-nucleotide ribosomal RNA is filed under the name uncultured bacterium. RNAcentral describes it as "partial 16S ribosomal RNA". It matches the Rfam family "Bacterial small subunit ribosomal RNA", at positions 523 to 796 of the family's 1533-position model. The record is from RNAcentral.
AUACGGAGGGUGCAAGCGUUACUCGGAAUCACUGGGCGUAAAGCGUGCGUAGGCGGUUAUUUAAGUCAGAUGUGAAAUCCCUGGGCUCAACCUAGGAACUGCAUCUGAAACUGGAUAACUAGAGUUUAGGAGAGGGGAGUAGAAUUUCGGGUGUAGCGGUGAAAUGCAUAGAGAUCCGAAGGAAUACCAGUGGCGAAGGCGACUCCCUGGCCUAGAACUGACGCUGAGGUGCAAAAGCGUGGGUAGCAAACGGGAUUAGAUACCCCAGUAGUCC